CUUUGUUCAUUCCACUCGUCGAUUUGUUGUUGUGACUUGUGAGAUUCGGUUUCUAUGAUAUAGGGCUGAGAUGAUGAAGCUGAGGCUUGAGAGGUUGUGGCGGUCGAGGUUUUCUGGUUCUUCUUCUUCUUAGUCGUCUCUCUCUCUCUUUUGGUUCCUCUCCUUCGUCUUCAUGGUGGUGCUUCAUCUUUCCCUUUCAAGUUGUGACGUGUGAGAUACGGUCAGAUGAUCUAGGGUUAGAUAUGAAGCAGAGCGAUCAAACGUGGCUGUCGAAGCUUUUGGUUCCCCUUCUUCUUCUUCGUCGUCGUCUCCCUCUCUCUCUGUUUUGGUUCCUCUUCGUCUUCAUGGUGGUGCUCUUGCUUCCUCUUUCUCCUUCAAGCUACAGAAACAAGGCAGACCAUGGAUGGAGGUUUCAGCACAAAGACCAGCAGAGUCUGCAAUUUUUGCUGCGUUAGAUGUAGAGCAUCACAGAUCAACAACGCCAAGUUUCAGUCAAGGAUUCGCUAAAGGAUCGGCAAAGAUGACGACGAUGGUCUAGUUGGCUGGUCACUGACAACGUUGGUUGUUUAUUCUUGAUAGAUUUGUCACUAUGAUGUUCUCUAUUACUAUGAAGAUUUGAUCAAGAGGACUUCCUCACAGUUUUCAAAAAGAAGAUGGAUCAUCAUGGAGCAUCAGCAUUACUACAUUUAUAACCGAGGGUGAAUACUCAUCAAGGUUCGAUGGUACUUACGAUUUCACAGGUAUAUUCUUAACUUUUCUAAUUUUUUUAAAUUAAAAAUAAAUUAAG
Long non-coding RNA from Capsella rubella, 787 nucleotides. RefSeq lists it as uncharacterized. NCBI's taxonomy places the organism in Eukaryota, Viridiplantae, Streptophyta, Magnoliopsida, Brassicales, Brassicaceae. The transcript is spliced from 5 exons. The record is from RefSeq and is a predicted model, not a curated record.